UACGAAGGUCCCAAGCGUUAUCCGGAUUUAUUGGGUUUAAAGGGUGCGUAGGCGGGUUAUUAAGUCAGUGGUGAAAGCCUUCAGCUUAACUGAAGAAUUGCCAUUGAUACUGAUGAUCUUGAGUAUGAUUGAGGUGGGCGGAAUGUGUCAUGUAGCGGUGAAAUGCUUAGAUAUGACACAGAACACCGAUUGCGAAGGCAGCUCACUAAGUCAUAACUGACGCUGAUGCACGAAAGCGUGGGGGAGCAAACAGG
RNAcentral lists this ribosomal RNA (254 nucleotides) under uncultured bacterium. RNAcentral's name for it is "partial 16S ribosomal RNA". It matches the Rfam family "Bacterial small subunit ribosomal RNA", at positions 524 to 776 of the family's 1533-position model. The record is from RNAcentral.